This 308-nucleotide ribosomal RNA is filed under the name Sergentomyia cincta. RNAcentral's name for it is "SSU rRNA". It matches the Rfam family "Eukaryotic small subunit ribosomal RNA", at positions 93 to 380 of the family's 1831-position model. Lineage: Eukaryota; Metazoa; Arthropoda; Insecta; Diptera; Psychodidae. The record is from RNAcentral.
AAGGCUCAGUAUAACAGCUAUUAUUUAUUUGAUCGUAAACAUAGUUACUUGGAUAACUGUGGUAAUUCCAGAGCUAAUACAUGCAAACAACAUGGAUCACUGUAUCAAUAUGGUUGAAACAUGUGCUUUUAUUAGAUUAAAACCAUGUCCAUCUCGUAUGGGCUUGUUUUAGAUGAAUCUGGAUAAUUAUGGCUGAUCGUAUGGUCUUGCACCGACGAUAGAUCAUUCAAAUGUCUGCCCUAUCAACUAUUGAUGGUAGUAUAGAGGACUACCAUGGUUGCAACGGGUAACGGGGAAUCAGGGUUCGA